Molecule: non-coding RNA, 150 nt
Filed under: chicken gut metagenome
Source: RNAcentral
UCAGUGCCUUUAAAAAAGGAUAAUAGGGAAUUUUGUGAAACAAAGCAGCCCCCGCUACUGUAUGGAGGACGAAAUCUUAAUUUGUCACUGAAAAUUUGGGAAGACUAAGAGAGUAGAGUGAUUCUAAGCCAGGAGACCUGCUGAUAUGAU